This 464-nucleotide ribosomal RNA is filed under the name uncultured bacterium. RNAcentral describes it as "partial 16S ribosomal RNA". It matches the Rfam family "Bacterial small subunit ribosomal RNA", at positions 28 to 507 of the family's 1533-position model. The record is from RNAcentral.
GAUGAACGCUGGCGGCGUGCUUAACACAUGCAAGUCGAACGGAAAGGCUCCUGCUUGCAGGGGUACUCGAGUGGCGAACGGGUGAGUAACACGUGGGUGAUCUGCCCUGCACUUCGGGAUAAGCCUGGGAAACUGGGUCUAAUACCGGAUAGGACGAUGGUUUGGAUGCCAUUGUGGAAAGUUUUUCGGUGUGGGAUGAGCUCGCGGCCUAUCAGCUUGUUGGUGGGGUAAUGGCCUACCAAGGCGUCGACGGGUAGCCGGCCUGAGGGUGUACGGCCACAUUGGGACUGAGAUACGGCCCAGACUCCUACGGGAGGCAGCAGUGGGGAAUAUUGCACAAUGGGCGCAAGCCUGAUGCAGCGACGCCGCGUGGGGGAUGACGGCCUUCGGGUUGUAAACUCCUUUCGCUAGGGACGAAGCGUUUUGUGACGGUACCUGGAGAAGAAGCACCGGCUAACUACGUG